GACGAACGCUGGCGGCGUGCUUAACACAUGCAAGUCGAACGGUGAAGCGCCUUCCUUUUUGGUGGGUGUGGAUGAGUGGCGAACGGGUGAGUAACACGUGAGUAACCUGCCCCCUUCUGCUGGAUAACCGCAUGAAAGUGUGGCUAAUACGGGAUAUUCUGGGUCUGUCGCAUGAUGGGUCUGGGAAAGAUAUUGUUUCGGUGGGGGAUGGGCUCGCGGCCUAUCAGCUUGUUGGUGGGGUGAUGGCCUACCAAGGCGGUGACGGGUAGCCGGCCUGAGAGGGUGGACGGUCACACUGGGACUGAGACACGGCCCAGACUCCUACGGGAGGCAGCAGUGGGGAAUAUUGCACAAUGGGCGCAAGCCUGAUGCAGCGACGCCGCGUGAGGGAUGGAGGCCUUCGGGUUGUGAACCUCUUUCGCCAGUGAAGCAGGCCUGCCUCGUUUGUGGGUGGGUUGACGGUAGCUGGAUAAGAAGCGCCGGCUAACUACGUG
RNAcentral lists this ribosomal RNA (494 nucleotides) under uncultured bacterium. RNAcentral describes it as "partial 16S ribosomal RNA". It matches the Rfam family "Bacterial small subunit ribosomal RNA", at positions 28 to 507 of the family's 1533-position model. The record is from RNAcentral.